Molecule: ribosomal RNA, 490 nt
Filed under: uncultured bacterium
Lineage: Bacteria
Description: partial 16S ribosomal RNA
Rfam family: Bacterial small subunit ribosomal RNA
Source: RNAcentral
GAUGAACGCUAGCGAUAGGCUUAACACAUGCAAGUCGAGGGGCAGCAUGGUCUUAGCUUGCUAAGACUGAUGGCGACCGGCGCACGGGUGCGUAACGCGUAUGCAACUUGCCUCACAGAGGGGGAUAACCCGUCGAAAGACGGACUAGUACCGCGUACACUCCAUCUUGGGCAUCCAAGGUAGAGGAAAUGAAAUUCGCUGUGAGAUAGGCAUGCGUCCCAUUAGCUAGUUGGUGAGGUAACGGCUCACCAAGGCGACGAUGGGUAGGGGAACUGAGAGGUUGAACCCCCACACUGGUACUGAGACACGGACCAGACUCCUACGGGAGGCAGCAGUGAGGAAUAUUGGUCAAUGGGCGAGAGCCUGAACCAGCCAAGUCGCGUGAAGGAUGACUGUCUUAUGGAUUGUAAACUUCUUUUAUACGGGAAUAACAAGAGUCACGUGUGACUCCCUGCAUGUACCGUAUGAAUAAGCAUCGGCUAACUCCGUG